AUACGGAGGAUCCGAGCGUUAUCCGGAUUUAUUGGGUUUAAAGGGUGCGCAGGCGGCCAUUUAAGUCAGCGGUUAAAUCGUGGGGCUCAACCCCAUUCUGCCGUUGAUACUGGGUGGCUUGAUUGCGGUCGAGGUUGGCGGAAUUCGUUGUGUAGCGGUGAAAUGCAUAGAUAUGACGAAGAACACCGAUUGCGUAGGCAGCUGGGGAGAGCGCGGAGGGCGCGCGUGCACGAAAGUGGGGGGAUCGAACAGGAUUAGAUGCCGUGGUAGGGCGCGCAGGAAGCGAUGAAUACUUGGUUUCGGCGAUAUAAUGUCGGAGGCGAAGCGAAAGCGAUAAGGAGUCCGCCUGGGGAGUACGCCGGCAACGGUGAAACUCAAAGGAAUUGACGGGG
RNAcentral lists this ribosomal RNA (392 nucleotides) under uncultured bacterium. RNAcentral's name for it is "partial 16S ribosomal RNA". It matches the Rfam family "Bacterial small subunit ribosomal RNA", at positions 523 to 918 of the family's 1533-position model. The record is from RNAcentral.